Molecule: small RNA, 158 nt
Filed under: Arabidopsis thaliana (thale cress)
Lineage: Eukaryota; Viridiplantae; Streptophyta; Magnoliopsida; Brassicales; Brassicaceae
Description: ATSL207600
Source: RNAcentral
UGUGUUGAUUUCAGGUGAUUUGAAGCUGUUGACGAGCUAACUGGAAGAAGCGGACCUGAUCAUGUCAAACCACUCGACCCCGAGGUCGAGUAGAAGCUUCAAGACCUCAACAGACCACUCGACCCCCUGGUCGAGUAGGGGACUUCACCAUUUCAUCU